AUACCUUUCUCGGCCUUUUGGCUAAGAUCAAGUGUAGUAUCUGUUCUUAUCAGUUUAAUAUCUGAUAUGUGGGUCAUCGACUUACACGAUAUUAACUCAAUUUUUCUAGGGAGAAGUUCACUACGGUAGCUUGCUAUCGGGACUUUCAAGUGUCGCCUUGGUGUUGCACUACAACCUUGGCCUGGCACACCCCAC
RNAcentral lists this small nuclear RNA (195 nucleotides) under Nicotiana attenuata. RNAcentral's name for it is "snRNA U2". It matches the Rfam family "U2 spliceosomal RNA". From Rfam's summary of the family: U2 is a small nuclear RNA (snRNA) component of the spliceosome (involved in pre-mRNA splicing). Complementary binding between U2 snRNA (in an area lying towards the 5' end but 3' to hairpin I) and the branchpoint sequence (BPS) of the intron results the bulging out of an unpaired adenosine, on the BPS, which initiates a nucleophilic attack at the intronic 5' splice site, thus starting the first of two transesterification reactions that mediate splicing. Lineage: Eukaryota; Viridiplantae; Streptophyta; Magnoliopsida; Solanales; Solanaceae. The record is from Rfam by way of RNAcentral.